Molecule: long non-coding RNA, 567 nt
Organism: Syzygium oleosum
Lineage: Eukaryota; Viridiplantae; Streptophyta; Magnoliopsida; Myrtales; Myrtaceae
Exons: 3
Source: RefSeq, a predicted model, not a curated record
GUUUUCUAACUCUUGUUCUCAAACCCGCUUCAACGCCUGCAGCAAAGCUAGGGUUUCGGCAUGGAGGGCCGAUCGGACCUGCGCUGCACUCGCGGAACCGUCGAUCAGCUUCCCGGAGGAGUCCCUGCACACCCAAGAGACAGCGCCGGUACUCUCACUCGCCGAGAACGAGCCAUCAACGUUAAUUUUGAGCGUCCCCGAGCGCGGCGGGAUCCAUGACUUUGACAAAUUCAUUCCGCGCCUUCCAGAUUUGCCACAUAAUCGUUGUGAUUAAUUCCAGAGGAGGAUCAGGUGCUCGAUGGUUUCGCUGUUUAGCCGGCAGAAGGGGCAAGAGGAAUCAGGUACUAUUUUCCGUUUGAGUAGAUUUUUCUUUGGUAGGCAAUGCAUUUUGACAGACAUUCCAUAGGAACAUUUUCAGCUUUGGUGAGCUGUUUGGAUUCCAUAUUAUAUUCCGAAGUUCUGUUGGGGUUUGGUAGGAGGAGGAUGGUUGCUGUAUGCGUGCUGUGGGUUCUGUCUGUCUGAGGACAUUGUAGCCAUUUUUCACUGAGUAUUGACCCGAUUUGGUUC